AGUGAACGCUGGCGGUAGGCCUAACACAUGCAAGUCGAACGGCAGCACAGUAAGAGCUUGUUCUUACGGGUGGCGAGUGGCGGACGGGUGAGGAAUACAUCGGAAUCUACUUUUUCGUGGGGGAGAACGCAGGGAAACUUACGCUAAUACCGCAUACGACGUACGGGUGAAAGCAGGGGAUCUUCGGACCUUGCGCGAUUGAAUGAGCCGAUGUCGGAUUAGUGAGUUGGCGGGGUAAAGGCACACCAAGGCGACGAUCCGCAGUUGGUCUGAGAGGAUGAUCGGCAACACUGAACCGGAACACGGGUCCAAACCCCUAGGGGAGGAAGCAGUGGGAAAUAUUGGCAAAUGGGCGAAAGCCUGUUCAGGCCAUCCCGCGUGGGUGAAGAAGGCUUUGGGGUUGUAAAGCCCUUUUGUUGGGAGAGAGAAGAGGCAGGUUAAUACCCCGCUGUUCGAACGGACCCACAGGAAUAAGCACCGGCAACCUUGGG
Molecule: ribosomal RNA, 491 nt
Filed under: uncultured bacterium
Lineage: Bacteria
Description: partial 16S ribosomal RNA
Rfam family: Bacterial small subunit ribosomal RNA
Source: RNAcentral